UAGAGGAACAUAACCAACAACACUGUUAUUUAUGAAAGCAGGUUUCUUAUAUUGUUUUACAGGAUCAGAAAGUGGAUAGUCCACAAUGGCAGUCUUCAGAAUGGAAAGCUAGAGGCAUCCGUAGCUGCCCAGUCCAAGAAGUUGGAGCCUCAGAGGAAGAAACACCAAUGACGUAAUCCCAUCAGGGCCUGGGGCCUGAGAACUCCCUGUGGAGAGUCACUAGUCAGAGUCCCCUUUGGAAGAGUGAAAGAACUAGAAUGUGAUGUCCUCAGGUGAUUGGAACAGGAGUCCAAACACCUACCGUAGAGAAAGAAAGAGAAAAUGGUGCUGUAUCCACAUUGGCUUCCUUUUUCUUUUGGUCUCCAUCUGUUCAAGCCCAAGCCCAUUGGGCUGUAUUCCCCACAUUCAGGGUGGGACUAUGCCCUCAAUUUGCUAUCCCACACAUCAAGAAUCUCUGAAAACACCCUCAUCAAUACACACAAAAUCACUUAAUCCAACAAGUUAACAAUCCAUAUUAACUCUUACAGCUAUACUCAAAUACAUAUAUUAACAAGACAGUCAUUUGACAUUUAGAACUUGACCCACCAUUCCUAUGUGUGGCAACUGGAUAUCAAGUGGGUGGGGAAAUAAACUGGAGCAUAAGGCCCUGAGUACUGAAGAACUCACUCUCAUUUUUCUUCACCAGAGACUAUGUUCUCCCACCUACUUAUACAACAAGCCGUCGUCCCUAUUUGUGGGAUGCAGACAUAAUACUGAGAAUAUAGUAAAUAAUCUCCUUUUAUCUCCCCAGUUAUAGAGCAACACAAAGUCAUUAUGAUCCAAAAUCUCAAAGGCCAAGGAGAAUGUCCUUCACCCUCAAAGAGUUGUGGGCAUAUGUCCUGCUUGUCCUUCCCCUCUCAAAAGGCAUCACCUCCCCUUUUCCCAACAUCCACAAUUCCAAGAAACUCCUUUUUUCUUAGCCAAAUCCAUGUUCCCAGCUAGGAGAAGAAAGGAAGUUCUCUCGCUGUACACAAGACCAUACCAAAAUAAUAAAGUCCAAUUUGGAUGUCCACCACAGCUGCUUUGUGGCCAAGCAGCUGAGAACUGAGGCACCCACUGCCAAAUGCAAUCAGCACAGAUUUCUCUCUUCAACUGUGACCAAGGCAGAUGGGCCCCAUUGGCCUUGUUGAGACCAGUGCUAAGUCAAUUGAGAACAUUGCAGCCACUUUAAAUACUCUUUUUACUACUUUUAAACACUUUUUUCCAUAAAGUUGUGAAGAGGCCAACAAGUGUUUCCUAAGUCCAAUGUCCACCCACUCCCUCAGGGAAUGCUCUGUCCUUUCAAAGGAUCUUUGACUGCAAACUUGAUCCUCACUUUGGGAAUACUUGUUAAAACAGAACAAAGUUUAUCCUGGCUAUUUCUACCAUAUUUUCAAACAUUGGGUCCCUAAAAGCUGAGUUAAUCAUUCACAGGAUUAACUACACUUUAAAAGUUAAUGGUUGAUGACAAAAAAAAAAAAAAGUACUUAUGGUCUUGGUUCUUCCUGAAACCAGAUUGUGGACACAAAGUUCUAGAGAGAAAUCAACCAAUACUAGAUAGGAAACAGACUAUAAACUCAUUACCAACAUUGGGCCUGUAAUACCUAUAAACCUCUUACAACUGAAUGCAGCCUUGUAUGUUCCCAGAAUAUGAAAAGUGUUUACAAAACAGUUAUCUCAAAACCAAUAUUCAAAAUAGUGCAAUAAAAAAUAAGCAACUUUGUGGCCUUUAUUCUCAAAGAGCUA
Molecule: long non-coding RNA, 1764 nt
Filed under: Marmota monax (woodchuck)
Lineage: Eukaryota; Metazoa; Chordata; Mammalia; Rodentia; Sciuridae
Source: RNAcentral